Molecule: long non-coding RNA, 1440 nt
Organism: Apis mellifera (honey bee)
Lineage: Eukaryota; Metazoa; Arthropoda; Insecta; Hymenoptera; Apidae
Exons: 3
Source: RefSeq, a predicted model, not a curated record
UAAGAGAGAUUCGUUUGAAAGUUCUUCGAGAAGAUCAUAUCAUCAAUUUUGUGUCAAAUAAAAUUUUACAGAAGAGAGUGUUAAAAGUGGAGAUGAAUAUUCUAAAUAUUGCACGUUUUCACCACGAUUCGUGGUAUCGAUUCAUGGUAUCGGUUUGGUCAAGGCCGUUACAGAGGGACACGAAAGGUCAUCAAGGUUGUAAGGUUGCGAAAUUCUCGACUCGCCUCCAAAUAUGUCAAUUAACGAUGCCACUUACGGAGGGGAUAUAUUGAAUAAUACAUUAGUUGUUGCAGAAACGAAUAUAGUAACGAUCUGUAUCCAAUUUAACUCAGAAUAUUGCAUUUUAAUCCGAUUCGUUACGGAAAGAAGAAGGGAGAAUGUAAACCAUCUAAUGUCAACCCGCGCGACCAUUUAUGGUUUUGGCUUUUGAUACGAUACGAAAAUGAAAUGGAAGAGAGGAAUUGAUCUUUCUCGAUUUCGAAUUUAAUUUCGAAGGGAAGAAAUUGAUUCGACGAUCGAGCAAACGAUGUUUUAAAAAUACGAUCCGAAACGGGUUCACUUGGUUAUUCAAUUCAAAUUAAAAAUUUCGUAUUCGCUCGAGUUCAAAAAGUUCAAAAGAAGGGAAGAUAAUUAAAUUUAUAAAUUCGAAGAUGCGGAUUUAAAUUUAAAACAACUUUUUCUAUAUAUAAAUACGCGUAUUACAAUACAUUCAAAUCCACGUUCAAGAGUUCAAAGCGGUUAAAUUUACCCGCGCCAUUACAAACGCUUUAUUUUCACAUCGUAAAUAUAUAUAUAUAUAUAUAUAUAGAAAUUGACUCGGCGUUUGUUCAACAUGUCGAGUUUGAAGUUAAAUGGAAACGAAGGGGAUUAGGAAUAGAGCCUUAGUAAUAAUGCUUUGCUCAAAGUCUGAACUAACUAGUUUUAAGACUGUCGCAUCAGGAACUUAGAGGCGCAAACACGGCUGAUCCGUGGUAUGAUAAGUGCCGCCAGUGAAAAUUACAAGUGACGGCUCAAGAAUCGUUGUUACGACACUUCUUUCUGUAGGAAGAAGAAGAAGAAGAAGAUUUCGUCGAAUACGUAUAUUUCUCUUCCCAUGAAUAUUGUUUUCCGGAUCACGAGCAGCCAGUCGACAGCAUAAUUUGGUUAUGCUUCCAUUCAGCCGGUUCCAUUAUCGACCAUUAGCCGGUUUCAACCUUUAUAUCGAGACGACUCUCGCGGCACCGUCUACUUCAAUCGUUCAAUUCCACCGGUAUAUACAGAUUUAAUAUAUUACUCAAGGCUCUCCUCAAUAAAAGAAGAGAUUACGCAUCUGGUGUCGAGUAGGUGUUAAAUAUGACGAGGAAAAAUGUUUCACAACGGCAUAAGUUUUCAUUCACUUUGACUCCACGCAGAAACCAUCAUCGUUCUUCGAGAAGAUUUUAAAAGAUUCGCUAAAUUAAC